GUUUGUGGGUGGGUGUGGGGGAGUGUCUUUUGUCUGGCGAAAAAAAUUUCCCUGGAACCUAACUCCCCCUAUUUACACUAAUUCUUAUGGUGAAAUUGGAUUCACUUAACAUCAUUUCACUUAAAGCAGCAUUUUUCAGGAACGUAACUACAACGUUAAGCGAGG
Molecule: long non-coding RNA, 165 nt
Organism: Gopherus evgoodei (Goodes thornscrub tortoise)
Lineage: Eukaryota; Metazoa; Chordata; Testudines; Testudinidae
Exons: 4
Source: RefSeq, a predicted model, not a curated record